This 435-nucleotide ribosomal RNA is filed under the name uncultured Saccharofermentans sp. RNAcentral describes it as "partial 16S ribosomal RNA". It matches the Rfam family "Bacterial small subunit ribosomal RNA", at positions 341 to 792 of the family's 1533-position model. Lineage: Bacteria; Bacillati; Bacillota; Clostridia; Eubacteriales; Oscillospiraceae. The record is from RNAcentral.
ACGGAAGGCAGCAGUGGGGAAUAUUGGGCAAUGGGCGCAAGCCUGACCCAGCAACGCCGCGUGAAGGAUGAAGGUCUUCGGAUUGUAAACUUCUUUGAUUGGGGAAGAAUAAAUGACCUACCCAAAGAACAAGUCACGGCUAACUACGUGCCAGCAGCCGCGGUACUACGUAGGUGCCAAGCGUUAUCCGGAUUUACUGGGUGUAAAGGGCGUGUAGGCGGUUCUGUAAGUCAGAAGUGAAAUUCCUGAGCUCAACUCGGGCGCUGCUUCUGAAACUGCUAGACUUGAGUGCUGGAGGGGAUAGCGGAAUUCCUAGUGGAGCGGUAAAAUGCGCAGAUAUUAGGAAGAACACCGGUGGCGAAGGCGGCUAUCUGGACAGUAACUGACGCUGAGGCGCGAAAGCGUGGGGAGCAAACAGGAUUAGAUACCCUGGUA